Molecule: ribosomal RNA, 1533 nt
Filed under: Acinetobacter calcoaceticus
Lineage: Bacteria; Pseudomonadati; Pseudomonadota; Gammaproteobacteria; Moraxellales; Moraxellaceae
Description: bacterial SSU rRNA
Rfam family: Bacterial small subunit ribosomal RNA
Source: RNAcentral
UGAAGAGUUUGAUCAUGGCUCAGAUUGAACGCUGGCGGCAGGCUUAACACAUGCAAGUCGAGCGGAGUGAUGGUGCUUGCACCAUCACUUAGCGGCGGACGGGUGAGUAAUGCUUAGGAAUCUGCCUAUUAGUGGGGGACAACAUUUCGAAAGGAAUGCUAAUACCGCAUACGUCCUACGGGAGAAAGCAGGGGAUCUUCGGACCUUGUGCUAAUAGAUGAGCCUAAGUCGGAUUAGCUAGUUGGUGGGGUAAAGGCCUACCAAGGCGACGAUCUGUAGCGGGUCUGAGAGGAUGAUCCGCCACACUGGGACUGAGACACGGCCCAGACUCCUACGGGAGGCAGCAGUGGGGAAUAUUGGACAAUGGGCGCAAGCCUGAUCCAGCCAUGCCGCGUGUGUGAAGAAGGCCUUAUGGUUGUAAAGCACUUUAAGCGAGGAGGAGGCUACUGAAGUUAAUACCUUCAGAUAGUGGACGUUACUCGCAGAAUAAGCACCGGCUAACUCUGUGCCAGCAGCCGCGGUAAUACAGAGGGUGCAAGCGUUAAUCGGAUUUACUGGGCGUAAAGCGCGCGUAGGCGGCUAAUUAAGUCAAAUGUGAAAUCCCCGAGCUUAACUUGGGAAUUGCAUUCGAUACUGGUUAGCUAGAGUGUGGGAGAGGAUGGUAGAAUUCCAGGUGUAGCGGUGAAAUGCGUAGAGAUCUGGAGGAAUACCGAUGGCGAAGGCAGCCAUCUGGCCUAACACUGACGCUGAGGUGCGAAAGCAUGGGGAGCAAACAGGAUUAGAUACCCUGGUAGUCCAUGCCGUAAACGAUGUCUACUAGCCGUUGGGGCCUUUGAGGCUUUAGUGGCGCAGCUAACGCGAUAAGUAGACCGCCUGGGGAGUACGGUCGCAAGACUAAAACUCAAAUGAAUUGACGGGGGCCCGCACAAGCGGUGGAGCAUGUGGUUUAAUUCGAUGCAACGCGAAGAACCUUACCUGGCCUUGACAUAGUAAGAACUUUCCAGAGAUGGAUUGGUGCCUUCGGGAACUUACAUACAGGUGCUGCAUGGCUGUCGUCAGCUCGUGUCGUGAGAUGUUGGGUUAAGUCCCGCAACGAGCGCAACCCUUUUCCUUAUUUGCCAGCGAGUAAUGUCGGGAACUUUAAGGAUACUGCCAGUGACAAACUGGAGGAAGGCGGGGACGACGUCAAGUCAUCAUGGCCCUUACGGCCAGGGCUACACACGUGCUACAAUGGUCGGUACAAAGGGUUGCUACCUAGCGAUAGGAUGCUAAUCUCAAAAAGCCGAUCGUAGUCCGGAUUGGAGUCUGCAACUCGACUCCAUGAAGUCGGAAUCGCUAGUAAUCGCGGAUCAGAAUGCCGCGGUGAAUACGUUCCCGGGCCUUGUACACACCGCCCGUCACACCAUGGGAGUUUGUUGCACCAGAAGUAGGUAGUCUAACCGCAAGGAGGACGCUUACCACGGUGUGGCCGAUGACUGGGGUGAAGUCGUAACAAGGUAGCCGUAGGGGAACCUGCGGCUGGAUCACCUCCUU